UACAGAGGGGGCAAGCGUUGUUCGGAAUUACUGGGCGUAAAGGGCGCGUAGGCGGCCGCCUAAGUCAGACGUGAAAUCCCUCGGCUCAACCGGGGAACUGCGUCUGAUACUGGGUGGCUUGGAAUUCGGGAGAGGGAUGCGGAAUUCCAGGUGUAGCGGUGAAAUGCGUAGAUAUCGAGAGGAACACCUGCGGCGAAGGCGGGUUGCUGGGCUGAUACUGACGCUGAGGCGCGAAAGCCAGGGGAGCGAACGGGG
RNAcentral lists this ribosomal RNA (255 nucleotides) under uncultured bacterium. Its description in RNAcentral is "partial 16S ribosomal RNA". It matches the Rfam family "Bacterial small subunit ribosomal RNA", at positions 524 to 777 of the family's 1533-position model. The record is from RNAcentral.